UCAAGCUACAAAGAGCCAAUGGUGGAUGCCUUGGCACUAGAUGCCGACGAAGGACGUGGGUGACUGCGAUAAGCCACGAGGAGUUGUCUACCUAGCGUUAUAACUCGUGGAUCUCCGAAUAGGAAAACCUAAUUACGUUUAACCGUAGUUAUUCCACACUGAAAACCGAAAGGCCAUAGGUGUGGUAAAGGGAACUGGGCGAAUUGAAACAUCUCAGUACCCCAAGGAAAAGAAAGCAAACGCGAUUCCCUUAGUAGCGGCGAGCGAAGAGGGAUGAGCCUAAACCUAUAGUGUGAUAUAGCCUGGCGGCGAUGCAUUAUGGGGGUUGUGGGACUCAAUAGAACUAGCGCCUGAUAGUUCACGAAGUUACAAAAGUUAUAUAUAACAGAAGAAGUCUGGAAAGCUUCACCGCAGAGGGUAAUAGUCCCGUAUGUGAAAUGUAUAACCCUUCGAUUGAUGUUCCCGAGUAUCACGGGAUCCGAGAAAGCCCGUGUGAAUCUGUGAGGACCACCUCAUAAGGCUAAAUACAAUCUAGUGACCGAUAGUGUACAAGUACCGUGAGGGAAGGGUGAAAAGAACCCCGAGAGGGGAGUGAAAUAGAACCUGAAACCAUUGGUUUACAAUCCGUUAAAGAGUCGGAUAAGAAUUUAUUCUUAUCUCUCAAUAGCGUGCCUUUUGAAGAAUGAGCCAGCGAGUUACCGUUUGUGGCAAGGUUAACCCGAGAGGGGAAGCCGAAGCGAAAGCGAGUCUGAAUAGGGCGUACUAGUCGCAGGCGGUAGACCCGAAGCCGGGUGAUCUAUCCAUGAGCAGGGUGAAGCGGAGGUAAGACUUCGUGGAGGCCCGAACCCACCCUAGUUGAAAAUAGGGGGGAUGACUUGUGGAUAGGGGUGAAAGGCCAAUCAAACCCGGUGAUAGCUGGUUCUCCCCGAAAUGCAUUUAGGUGCAGCGUCGUGAGUUCAGUAUCGGAGGUAGAGCUACUGGAUGGUUUAGGGGGCCUACAAGCUUACCAACAUCAGCCAAACUCCGAAUGCCGAUACUCCAGAUCACGGCAGUGAGACUAUGGGGGCUAAGCUUCAUAGUCGAGAGGGAAACAGCCCAGAGCGCCAACUAAGGUCCCAAAUUUAUACUCAGUGGUAAACGAUGUGGGAAUGCCUAGACAGCCAGGAGGUUGGCUUAGAAGCAGCCAUCCUUGAAAGAGUGCGUAAUAGCUCACUGGUCGAGUGUUCCUGCGCGGACAAUGUAACGGGGCUCAAGUAUAAAACCGAAGUUGCGUCAUUAGGAUAAUUUAUUAUUACUGAUGGGUAGGGGAGCGUCGAGUUCGACUGUGAAGCCAGAUGAUAACGUCUGGUGGAGUGGACUCGAGUGAGAAUGCUGGCAUGAGUAGCGAACGAAGGGGGAGGAACCCUUCCUCCGAAUAUCCAAGGGUUCCUGGGCAAGGCUCAUCCGCCCAGGGUUAGUCGGGAGCUAAGGCGAGGCCGAAAGGCGUAGUCGAUGCACAACUGGUUGAUAUUCCAGUACCACCAUAUUCGCGCCCAGCCUAAGCUAAUUUGCUAAGUGGCUGUUAAUUUAUUAACGAAACGACCCAAUUAGUGCAUGGUAAUUGUAGGGGGACGCAGGAAGGUAGAUCUGACAGGUGAUGGUUAUCCUGGAAGUAAGUAAGUAGGGAGUGUGAUAGGAAAAUCCGUUGCACAUUAAUCCUGAGAUACGACACGUAGCCGAUUUAGGCGAUUUGAUUGAUCCUAUGCUGCCUAGAAAAGCCUAGCAAUGAGUUAAUAUGGUGCCCGUACCCCAAACCGACACAGGUAGAUAAGUAGAGAAUACUAAGGAGAGCGAGAUAACUCCGGUUAAGGAACUCGGCAAAAUGCCCCCGUAACUUCGGGAUAAGGGGGGCCUCAGUAAAGUGAUUGUCUUCGCGACAUGAGCUUGAGGAGGCCGCAGUGACUAGAGCCAAGCGACUGUUUACCAAAAACACAGGUGCAUGCGAAGCCGUAAGGCGAUGUAUAUGCACUGACGCCUGCCCAAUGCUGGAAGGUCACGGAGAGAGGUUAGCGCUUGUCGCGAAGCUUCGAACUUAAGCCCCAGUGAAUGGCGGCCGUAACUAUAACGGUCCUAAGGUAGCGAAAUUCCUUGUCGGGUAAGUUCCGACCUGCACGAAUGGCGUAACGACUUGGCUACUGUCUCAACCGGAGACUCGGCGAAAUUGCAAUACGAGUAAAGAUGCUCGUUUCCCGCACCAGGACGGUAAGACCCCGUGCACCUUUACUGCAACUUGAUGUUGGGUUUGGGUAUGAACUGUGUAGGAUAGCUGGGAGACUGCGAAGCAGAGGCGUCAGCUUUUGUGGAGUCAACCUUGAAAUACCAGCCUGUUCAUAUCGGAACCUCUCACCACAGGCCCUAGAUCGGGUCUUGGGACAGCGUCAGGUGGGUAGUUUGACUGGGGCGGUCGCCUCCUAAAGAGUAUCGGAGGCGUCCAAAGUUAUACUCAGCCUGGUUGGCAAUCAGGCGUCGAGCGCAAAAGUAUAAGUAUGAUUGACUGCAAGACCUACAAGUCAAGCAGGGACGAAAGUCGGGUUUAGUGACCCAGCGGCAGCUUGUGGAAGCGCCGUUGAUUAACGGAUAAAAGGUACGCCGGGGAUAACAGGCUCAUUUUGCCCAAUAGUUCACAUAGACGGCAAAGUUUGGCACCUCGAUGUCGGCUCGUCGCAUCCUGGGGGUGUAGCCACUCCCAAGGGUUGGGCUGUUCGCCCAUUAAAGCGGUACGCGAGCUGGGUUCAGAACGUCGCGAGACAGUUCGGUCCCUAUCCGGUGUGGGCGUAAGAGAUUUGAGGAAAUCUGUUCCUAGUACGAGAGGACCGGAAUGGACGUGGCUCUCGUGUGACAGUUGUCCUGCCAAGGGCAUGGCUGUUUAGCGACCCACGGAAAAGAUAAACGCUGAAAGCAUCUAAGCGUGAAACUUGUUCCAAGAUGAGAUCUCUCAUGUGGUUAACACAGUAAGACCCCUUAUAGACCAUGAGGUUGAUAGGCCAGAAGUGUACGGACAGUAAUGUCUUUAGCUGACUGGUACUAAUCGGUCGAGGGCUUGAGUAU
This 3087-nucleotide ribosomal RNA is filed under the name wastewater metagenome. RNAcentral's name for it is "bacterial LSU rRNA". It matches the Rfam family "Bacterial large subunit ribosomal RNA". The record is from RNAcentral.